This 1528-nucleotide ribosomal RNA is filed under the name Klebsiella pneumoniae. RNAcentral describes it as "bacterial SSU rRNA". It matches the Rfam family "Bacterial small subunit ribosomal RNA". Lineage: Bacteria; Pseudomonadati; Pseudomonadota; Gammaproteobacteria; Enterobacterales; Enterobacteriaceae. The record is from RNAcentral.
AGAGUUUGAUCAUGGCUCAGAUUGAACGCUGGCGGCAGGCCUAACACAUGCAAGUCGAGCGGUAGCACAGAGAGCUUGCUCUCGGGUGACGAGCGGCGGACGGGUGAGUAAUGUCUGGGAAACUGCCUGAUGGAGGGGGAUAACUACUGGAAACGGUAGCUAAUACCGCAUAACGUCGCAAGACCAAAGUGGGGGACCUUCGGGCCUCAUGCCAUCAGAUGUGCCCAGAUGGGAUUAGCUAGUAGGUGGGGUAACGGCUCACCUAGGCGACGAUCCCUAGCUGGUCUGAGAGGAUGACCAGCCACACUGGAACUGAGACACGGUCCAGACUCCUACGGGAGGCAGCAGUGGGGAAUAUUGCACAAUGGGCGCAAGCCUGAUGCAGCCAUGCCGCGUGUGUGAAGAAGGCCUUCGGGUUGUAAAGCACUUUCAGCGGGGAGGAAGGCGGUGAGGUUAAUAACCUCAUCGAUUGACGUUACCCGCAGAAGAAGCACCGGCUAACUCCGUGCCAGCAGCCGCGGUAAUACGGAGGGUGCAAGCGUUAAUCGGAAUUACUGGGCGUAAAGCGCACGCAGGCGGUCUGUCAAGUCGGAUGUGAAAUCCCCGGGCUCAACCUGGGAACUGCAUUCGAAACUGGCAGGCUAGAGUCUUGUAGAGGGGGGUAGAAUUCCAGGUGUAGCGGUGAAAUGCGUAGAGAUCUGGAGGAAUACCGGUGGCGAAGGCGGCCCCCUGGACAAAGACUGACGCUCAGGUGCGAAAGCGUGGGGAGCAAACAGGAUUAGAUACCCUGGUAGUCCACGCCGUAAACGAUGUCGAUUUGGAGGUUGUGCCCUUGAGGUGUGGCUUCCGGAGCUAACGCGUUAAAUCGACCGCCUGGGGAGUACGGCCGCAAGGUUAAAACUCAAAUGAAUUGACGGGGGCCCGCACAAGCGGUGGAGCAUGUGGUUUAAUUCGAUGCAACGCGAAGAACCUUACCUGGUCUUGACAUCCACAGAACUUUCCAGAGAUGGAUUGGUGCCUUCGGGAACUGUGAGACAGGUGCUGCAUGGCUGUCGUCAGCUCGUGUUGUGAAAUGUUGGGUUAAGUCCCGCAACGAGCGCAACCCUUAUCCUUUGUUGCCAGCGGUUAGGCCGGGAACUCAAAGGAGACUGCCAGUGAUAAACUGGAGGAAGGUGGGGAUGACGUCAAGUCAUCAUGGCCCUUACGACCAGGGCUACACACGUGCUACAAUGGCAUAUACAAAGAGAAGCGACCUCGCGAGAGCAAGCGGACCUCAUAAAGUAUGUCGUAGUCCGGAUUGGAGUCUGCAACUCGACUCCAUGAAGUCGGAAUCGCUAGUAAUCGUAGAUCAGAAUGCUACGGUGAAUACGUUCCCGGGCCUUGUACACACCGCCCGUCACACCAUGGGAGUGGGUUGCAAAAGAAGUAGGUAGCUUAACCUUCGGGAGGGCGCUUACCACUUUGUGAUUCAUGACUGGGGUGAAGUCGUAACAAGGUAACCGUAGGGGAACCUGCGGUUGGAUCACCU